AUUGAACGCUGGCGGCAGGCUUAACACAUGCAAGUCGAGCGGAGACUUCGGUCUUAGCGGCGAACGGGUGAGUAAUACCUAGGAAUCUGCCUAUUAGUGGGGGAUAACGAAUCGAAAGGUUCGCUAAUACCGCAUACGUCCUACGGGAGAAAGGGGGGGAUCUUCGGACCUCUCGCUAAUAGAUGAGCCUAGGCCGGAUUAGCUAGUUGGUAGGGUAAAGGCCUACCAAGGCGACGAUCUGUAGCUGGUCUGAGAGGAUGGCCAGCCACACUGGAACUGAGACACGGUCCGGACUCCUACGGGAGGCAGCAGUGGGGAAUAUUGGACAAUGGGGGCAACCCUGAUCCAGCCAUGCCGCGUGUGUGAAGAAGGCCUCGGUUGUAAGACACUUAAGUACGAGGAGGAAGGUUUAGUUUAAGUUACUACUAAAGAAUUAGUACGUUAC
Molecule: ribosomal RNA, 445 nt
Filed under: uncultured bacterium
Lineage: Bacteria
Description: bacterial SSU rRNA
Rfam family: Bacterial small subunit ribosomal RNA
Source: RNAcentral